This 1419-nucleotide long non-coding RNA is filed under the name Fukomys damarensis (Damara mole-rat). Its description in RNAcentral is "lncRNA (ENSFDAG00000029452.1)". Lineage: Eukaryota; Metazoa; Chordata; Mammalia; Rodentia; Bathyergidae. The record is from RNAcentral.
CCACAGUCUGCCUUUAGUGCAACCAAAGCAGGUGAUUGAGCCCCAGGGGCUGAUCCUAAGAACAUCUGGGCAGCUUGCCAUCCUGUUGCUCUAAAAUGAAAAUCAUGUGAAAGGUUUGAAAGGCUUCCGUUUAUGGUAAUUUAGUCGUUAACCUGCAUGGGGACACAGGCUGUGACGCAGGUGACGCCUUUGGCCCGCUCUGUCCCUGAUUUCCCAGGCAGAGGGCCCAGGAGGCCAGGCCAGAACACUCGACUCACCCAGAAGGAUCUUUCCUUGACCACUUCUGGCCCUCACAACUACCCCCGGGAGCUGGAGCAGGAAAGAGGACAGGAGAGCAGGCAGCUGCUGUGUGGCCAGGGAAUUAUGUUGAGUUUUGGCAAGAGACCAGGGUGACUGGCAGACCUCUCAGAAGAGUGCUGAAUUCGGCUCCUCCCAAACACCUCAGUGCCCAUUUGUCUUUACUGCCCACUGGCAAGGAACUUGUCCUGUGGAUAUUCUAGAAGCAAAUCCACUUUCUCCCCUGCCAACCAGGAAAACCGACUUGGACUUAGAUGCCAUCCCAAAGACUGGCCUGGUAUGAUGUGCACUGGGAGGGAAGAAGGGGUAGUGGUGAUGGAAAAAAAGAAUCAGAGAAAAUCCCAAAGUGGAUUUAAAUCUACACCAUUCUUGUUUUCACUUUGCUGGGUUUCAUCAUUCUAGAACUACUGAGCGCUUCUUGGUGAUAACACAACCCCCUUUGUUGGGAGCUGCAGGUCCCCACUAAACCAAAAGCAAGGAUUCUUACGUACUCUAUGGAGGAAAUUAAGAGAAGCAGCAGCUCAGGGGUACUGCCGCCUGCCCUGCAAGAAGUGCAAGGACCCGAGUUCGAUCCCCGGUACCAAAGAAAAAAAAAAAAAAAAAAGGAGAAGCACGGGUGGGGGUGGGGAGACUGCCACAGGGUGCCAGGGAGAGAGUAAGAGGUCUUCAAGACUGUCGGUAGGAAAGGCUAGGCAAGGGAGCACGUGUGUGAGGGAGAAGAGGGGAUGAACCACAGCAUUCCAGAGGACAUGAAGCACAGCUGAGCUAAGAGGAAGAGGAUGCGUUGGUUUGGAUUUAAUAGCAGCAUCUGUGGUAAGGGUGGUAUUCCAGGUAUGGUUUACUCGUCGUCAUGAGCAGCGGCAGUCGUGGUCUGCCCACAAGAAAAGGAAUGUGGAGAGAGGAGGCCAAAGGGCAGAGGUGCUGUGAGGUGGAAAGAAGAAAAUGGACCAGGGAAGAAAUCUUUGCAGCCUUUGUGGGAAGAAGCAGUGAUAUUUGUUCCGGUUUCCUUUUUAUCUUUUUCAGAACCCAGAAACUAAAUAAAUGAACUGAAAUUUUAAAAUCUUGCCAUGUUGGCUUGGAUUAGUUUUGUUAGUUCCAAAUCUUAAGUCUUCCCCCCCCCCA